GCUUCAGUUCCAGCCGCGGCCACGGGCAGCCGCGGAGGGCGGGGACUGUGGGUGGAAACCGGGGAGUCGGCCGGGGCCUAAGGAAGUGGCUUCUCUCCCGGCGGACGGGUCGGAGCUCCCGCGCCCGCCGGGCCGCCCGCCGCAGCUCCUCCGCGCUCUCCCGCGGCCUCGGACCGCGGCGCCGCGCGCGGCCUUCAGCGAGCGAGACACUGGUGCGAUCGCCCGCGGCGGACAUCCUCGAGCAGCGUUUGCAACUGGAGAGACCCUAAAGACUAAAAGAGAAGAUGAAGCUCACGGCAACAAACGGCCUUCAUGGGGAGGAAAGCCCAGAGAGAGCUGAAUCCGAAAACGAAGAACUGAAUUCAAAUGCGGGGCUAGACCUGCCAUUUAUGAUGUUGCCCCACCCCCUGCUUCCCGUUAGCCUGCCUCCUGCAUCAGUUGCCAUGGUGAUGCAUCAGAUGAACCACUUGAAUACUAUUUCCAACAUGGCUGCUGCAGCUCAAAGGCAGAGUCCACUCUCCAGAGCCGGGGCUUCAGUUAUUAAAGAAACCGACAGCUCUUCUCCUGCCGCUUCUCCUGAAGCGAGCAGUGCGCCUGAGGGCCUGGGUGCUUCCAACUGCUCCCCGUCCCAACUUGAGGAUAUGCCCAAGGUAAUUGCUCUGGUGCCUGAUGAUGGAGAAAAAGAGCUUCCAGACCAAGGUAAUGGAUCAAAUCCAAAAAAACUCCAGAAGGAAAAUGUUCUAUCCCUCAGUCAAGAGCUUUUUAUUCAGCACAAAGUACUGUGGGGAACAAAAAGAAGCAUAAGGCAGGGAACCUGCCCUCAAGAUGCUUACAGUCAAGUUUGGGAAGCAAGACAAACAGGAGAGAUGCAAAUUGCCAUUCCAGUGAUGAAACCAAACCUCGAUAAAGGUCAACUAUCUGGGCAAAUCGUGGCUCCUGGAUUUGCAACCCCCUUUAUUUUUGCCGAUAGUCUUUCCUCCGUGGAAACGCUUUUAACCAAUAUUCAGUUCCUGCUGAAAGUGGCUCUAGACAGUGCUCGUGUCCAGGAAAGGCAAAUGCAAGAAGAAAAGAAGGAGCUGAGAAUGGAGCUCUACAGAGAGAGGGAGAUGCGGGAGACCCUGGAAAGGCAGCUGGCAGUUGAGUUGCAGAGCCGGGCCACAGUUCAGAGGCGUCUGAAGAAGGAGAAGAAGGCCAAGAGGAAGCUGCAGGAAGUCCUGGAAUUUGAAUCCAAGCGCAGAGAGCAAAUGGAGCAGGCCCUGAGGCAGGCCACUGGAGGUGACAGUGUGCUCAGCAUCCUCAGGGGGUUUGGAUUCUCAGAAAGAGAUCUUGAAGGCAUUGGGACUGAGUCUGACAGUGCAGAAAUGCAAGAAAACAUCAACCCCACCACCAUGUACUGAAGGAACUUUCUAUUAAAAUAUAUAAAUAUAUAUAUAUAUAUAUAUCUAUGUAUGUACCACCAUCCAUUACCUUAAGAUUCAUGUAUAUUUCAUUAAAGAAUACCCUCAACCUUUCCAUGCUUUCCAGUGCUGUGUGAAGAAUGAAAGUUGCAGCAUGAAACUGGAAGAACCAUUUGUUACAUUUUAAUCUACAGCAGCAUUGUGAAGAAACUUAGAAAGGUUUUAUAAGCUCCCUAUGCUAAGCUAAGCCUGUUACAGUUGAUCGUUUGUAGGUCCCUCCUCCCAGAGAAGUUUUAGAAUUUUUAAGCACAUGCAAGAGUUAUUCCCUUUGAGAAAACUAACUUUUCCCCCCUUCCCCCUCCCACCCUUUAAAGAGGCAGUAGUUUUGUUGAACAGUGGCACAAAUAUGUUAAUCGGCCUGAAACGUCCCCACUGGCUUUACCUAAGUGCAGAUCCUGAGUCCGCUUUUGCACCAAGACCAAUCACGUGGAGCUGUUGCAGUUGUGUUCGUACUUUAAGCUUUGUUUACUGAACCAGAUAUUCAAUAAAUAUUACAUUUUGCUGAGAAA
Molecule: RNA transcript, 1966 nt
Organism: Sarcophilus harrisii (Tasmanian devil)
Lineage: Eukaryota; Metazoa; Chordata; Mammalia; Dasyuromorphia; Dasyuridae
Gene name: dachshund homolog 2 pseudogene
Exons: 2
Source: RefSeq, a predicted model, not a curated record